CCUCCCGGGGGCGGACCUAACGGGGGGCAUGGAUGCCGAACCAAAAACCGCCUCUUGCUGCCAGAUCUACCCACAGGAGAGAAGCUAAACGCUAAGCAAAGCAAAAGCAAAAGCAACGCAAAGAAAACGAAAGAGAGGCGUACGGGUGGUGCCCAGAUGCGGAGGAAGCCGACGCCGGCGCCGCUGGAGUGGAAUGGAGAUCGGCGAAGUCGCGAGGAGACGGGAGGGAGGGAGGGAGGGAGGCGAGGCCGAGGGAGGAAGGGGGGGCCAAUCACGCUGGGC
This 282-nucleotide long non-coding RNA is filed under the name Oryza brachyantha (malo sina). RNAcentral describes it as "long non-coding RNA (OBRA_LNC000818)". Lineage: Eukaryota; Viridiplantae; Streptophyta; Magnoliopsida; Poales; Poaceae. The record is from RNAcentral.